GACAAUGCGGCUCUCUGUAAGGCAGAUGGGUUCUUGGCAUAACUUCCGGACUGAGGCGUUACUACAAGGGUGACGGGUAGACGAGGCUCGCUUUGUCUAGGAAGGCAGCUCGCUUCUGUAGCUUGGAGAGAGCAAACCGGAAGUACGUCACAAUAUGGAAGUGUCCCAUAAGACCUUGAGAGAGUCCAUAUACACUGUCACCUUAGCAUCAUUCAGUGCUUUGCCCCAACAAAUGAAGCAGAAGAAAAAGAAAAAAAAGAACCUCCAUACACCAGACAGAAGGAAAAGAAACUAGAGUAACUACACCUGCGUGAGAGAAUUCAAGAGAAAAUGUGAGAAAUUGAAGAAAGAAGAUGCUGUUUCAGACCACCAUCUGCUAAUGGAAAAAGUGAAACUUAAAUAAUGAAACAAAACAAAAGUAGGGAAACGCUUCAACACCAUCGAUUCUAGCAAACAACAAAGGUACAGACUUCCAGCCGGAGCAAUAUUUUACAUCUGCAUGUGAAACAUCAAUCGGAGUGUAAAAAUGAAAACAUCAAUAAUGGAUCGCUCCAAAGACACUUUAAAAAAAAACAGAGAAAGAAACCAACAGAAAAACAAGAGAAUCAAAUGAAACAGCUUCAGAGGCCUUUAACAGAACUAUAACAAAGUAGUCAUGCAAAGUACAUUGAAAAACAAAAUAAACUUUACAAGCAAGUCUAGCCACAGAAGAUCGAAUCAGCAAGGCAGAACAAUUUCAAAGCUGUGUAUGAUUAGAUCCCACCUCAUUAGAAAACACAUGAAAGCUUGGGGGUCGAUCAAUAAAAAGAAAAGCGAGAAAGACUCUAAAUACCCGGAGUCACAGUUUUAAUAAUUUACAUUCUAAAAUAUCAGAAUCACUAUUAGCUGAAAGUCAAUCAGGAAAGAAAAAUGGUUAUAUCAAAAUAAUAUAGUUAGCUGCAAUAUUCAAUUAAUAUAUAUUCAUAUUAUUUAUAACAAAGAAAUCACUUUAUAAAUAAAUGCCAAGGCGACCAUCUAUAUUAGUAUAUAUCGUAAUGGAAAACUUAUGGUUCAGAUUAUAACGCUGAAUCUGAAUUUAAUUUUCAAACCUUAGAAGGGAUGUUUGGUGGGGAUUGCUGAGUAUAGGCCUUUUGACCCUCUUGCAAAAUAUGUAGAAAUCCGUUCCACACUUCAUACUUGAAAUAAUGUUCGCUAAACCAAAACCUACUCUGAGUUACCGUAAGGCCACUCAUACCACUAUUCCACAAUUUGUUUUUUUUUUCUUUUCAUUAGAACAGAAUACUUAGGCCUCAAUGUAAAGCGAUCUGAGAGUGGUUUGGAAAAACAUAUUGAAACAUUUUAUCCAUUACUGAAUUGAUAACAGCCUUUAAAUCCGCAGACUUCAAUACUAGUAAACAGUAUGCUACAAUUUCUGUGGAACAUCAUUCAUCCCAGAUUUAUCAUGUUUUUGGUGUAAAGUAAUUCAAAUAUGUAAUUUAACAUUGCAUAGUCAUCAGUUUUCUCUUUGUCCCACAUGUACUGUAGGAUUCAUUGAUCGCUGUUGACGUUCAAUUAAUGACGAAUGUAUUUGUCAAAUGUAAUAUUAGCUUUUCUUUUUAACCAUUCCACUAAUAUUGACAAAAAUGGUAUUAUGUAUAAAGAAAUGUUUUAUUGUUUGCAGAAUCUUUUUCUAAGAGCACAAAAACUUUUCAAGAAUAAUAUAUGUUGAUGAAG
Magallana angulata is the source of this 1713-nucleotide long non-coding RNA. RefSeq lists it as uncharacterized. The record is from RefSeq and is a predicted model, not a curated record. The transcript has 3 exons. NCBI's taxonomy places the organism in Eukaryota, Metazoa, Mollusca, Bivalvia, Ostreida, Ostreidae.